Hyaena hyaena (striped hyena) is the source of this 432-nucleotide long non-coding RNA. RefSeq lists it as uncharacterized. Lineage: Eukaryota; Metazoa; Chordata; Mammalia; Carnivora; Hyaenidae. The record is from RefSeq and is a predicted model, not a curated record. The transcript has 3 exons.
CGAGCCCCGAAGCCGGGUGGCCCGGCCCCCCGACCCCGCCUGGACCUGCGCUGGCCCAGGCCACGCCCGAACUCCGCUCCGGGACCGGCCGGACAGGGCUGCCCUCAGAGCCGAAGGGGGCCGCCCUGAAGCAUAAAGUUUACGUCCCAAAGUUUACACGGAUCGGACAUUUCCGUCCUGACGCUUUGUUUUGCCGUCUCCUCGGGGUCUGAGGCGUGCGGUGCUCCUUCCGAAGACCCCCGGCCUGCUGACCCUCUGAGUUGUCCUCAGCACACCUUCCACAACAGCACUUCCACCUCGUUUACACUGUUGCACACUCGUAACUCGAUAAAAUUACGUUUUUUUACAUGUAUGUUCACACCAAUAAUUGCCUGCUUCAGAGGCUGAUAUAACAAAACCAAUAAACCGAGUGAUGGUGUUUGCAUUGCAAAA